GAAAUGUGAUAAGUAAUGUGAAUUGCAGAAUUCAGUGAAUCAUCGAAUCUUUGAACGCACAUUGCGCCCGCCAGCACUCUGGCGGGCAUGCCUGUUCGAGCGUCAUUUCAACCCUCAGAACCCCUUGCGGGAUCUGGCGUUGGGGAUUGGCAUCCAGCCAGCCCCGAAAUCUAGUGGCGGUCCCUCCGCGACCUCCCCCGUGCAGUAGCGAUACCUCGCAGCGGGACAGCGGUCUGACCACGCCGUAAAACCCCCAACUUCUCAAGGUUGACCUCGAAUCAGGUAGGAAUACCCGCUGAACUUAAGC
Molecule: unclassified non-coding RNA, 307 nt
Filed under: plant metagenome
Description: partial contains 5.8S ribosomal RNA, internal transcribed spacer 2, and large subunit ribosomal RNA
Rfam family: 5.8S ribosomal RNA (bases 1-105)
Source: RNAcentral